AGUCGAGGGGUAUUGUUCUUCGGAAUGAGAGACCGGCGCACGGGUGCGUAACGCGUAUGCAAUCUACCUUUCACGGAGGGAUAGCCCAGAGAAAUUUGGAUUAAUACCUCAUAGCAUAAUGAGUUGGCAUCAACACAUUAUUAAAGUCACAACGGUGAAAGAUGAGCAUGCGUCCCAUUAGCUAGUUGGUAAGGUAACGGCUUACCAAGGCUACGAUGGGUAGGGGUCCUGAGAGGGAGAUCCCCCACACUGGUACUGAGACACGGACCAGACUCCUACGGGAGGCAGCAGUGAGGAAUAUUGGUCAAUGGGCGCAAGCCUGAACCAGCCAUGCCGCGUGCAGGAUGACGGUCCUAUGGAUUGUAAACUGCUUUUGUACGGGAAGAAACACUCCGACGUGUCGGAGCUUGACGGUACCGUAAGAAUAAGGAUCGGCUAACUCCGUGCCAGCAGCCGCGGUAAUACGGAGGAUCCAAGCGUUAUCCGGAAUCAUUGGGUUUAAAGGGUCCGUAGGCGGUUUAGUAAGUCAGUGGUGAAAGCCCAUCGCUCAACGGUGGAACGGCCAUUGAUACUGCUAGACUUGAAUUAUUGGGAAGUAACUAGAAUAUGUAGUGUAGCGGUGAAAUGCUUAGAGAUUACAUGGAAUACCAAUUGCGAAGGCAGGUUACUACCAAUGGAUUGACGCUGAUGGACGAAAGCGUGGGUAGCGAACAGGAUUAGAUACCCUGGUAGUCCACGCCGU
This 742-nucleotide ribosomal RNA is filed under the name uncultured Bacteroidota bacterium. RNAcentral's name for it is "bacterial SSU rRNA". It matches the Rfam family "Bacterial small subunit ribosomal RNA", at positions 60 to 803 of the family's 1533-position model. The record is from RNAcentral. Lineage: Bacteria; Pseudomonadati; Bacteroidota.